ACUACAACUAAUACUACCACUACAGCUAAUACUACCACUACUACCACUACAGCUAAUACUACCACUACAGCUAAUACUACCACUACUACCACUACAGCUAAUACUACCACUACUACCACUACAGCUAAUACUACCACUACUACCACUACAGCUAAUACUACCACUACUACCACUACAGCUAAUACUACCACUACAGCUAAUACUACCACUACUACCACUACAACUAAUACUACCACUACAACUAAUACUACCACUACAACUACUACUACCACCACUACAGCUAAUACUACCACUACAACUAAUACUACCACUACCACUACUACUACCACUACUACCACCACUACUACUACCACCACUAAUACUACUACUACCACCACUACAACUACUACUACUACUACUACCACCACCAUUUACUACUACCACCACUACUACUACUAAUACAACUACAACUAAUACUAUUACCACUACAACUAAUACUACUAUCACCACUACAACUACUACUACUACUACUACCACCACCAUUUACUACUACCACCAUUACUACUACCACCAUUACUACUACUACCAACAUUACUACAACUACUACUAAUACUAUUACCACUACAACUAAUACUACUAUUACCACUAUUACUACUACUACUACCACCAUUACUACUACUACUCCUACCACCAUUACUACUACUACUACUACUACCACCAUUACUACUACUACUACCACCAUUACUACUACUACUACUACUACUACUACUACUACCAUUACUACUACCACUACCACCACUACUACCACCAUUACUACUACUACCACUACUAACUACUACUACCACCAUUACUUCUACUACUACCACCAUUACUACCACUACUACUACUACUACCACCAUUACUACUACUACUACCACCAUUACUACUACUACUACUACCACCAUUACUACUACUACUACUACUACCACCAUUACUACUAUUACUACUACUACUACUACUACUACUACUACCACCACCAUUACUACUACAACUACUACUACUACCACUACAGCUAAUACUACCACUACAACUAAUACUACCACUACAACUAAUACUACCACUACAACUAAUACUACCACUACAACUAAUACUACCACCACUACAACUAAUACUACCACCACUACUACUACCACCACUACAACUAAUACUACCACUACUACCACUACAGCUAAUACUACCACUACUACCACUACAGCUAAUACUACCACUACUACCACUACAACUAAUACUACCACUACAACUAAUACUACCACUACAGCUAAUACUACCACUACUACCACUACAGCUAAUACUACCACUACAGCUAAUACUACCACUACUACCACUACAGCUAAUACUACCACUACUACCACUACAGCUAAUACUACCACUACUACCACUACAGCUAAUACUACCACUACUACCACUACAGCUAAUACUACCACUACUACCACUACAACUAAUACUACCACUACAACUACUACUACCACCACUACAGCUAAUACUACCACUACAACUAAUACUACCACUACCACUACUACUACCACCACUACAACUAAUACUACCACCACUACAACUACUACUACCACCACUACAACUACUACUACCACCACUACAACUACUACUACCACCACUACUACUACCACCACUACUACUACUACUACCACCACCACUACUACUACUACUACUACUACUACUACCACCACUACAACUAAUAUUAUUAUUAUUAUAUUAUUAUUAUAUAUUAACUAAUAGUACCACCACUACAACUACUACUACUACUACCACCACCAUUUACUACUACCACCACUACUACUACUAAUACAACUACAACUAAUACUAUUACCACUACAACUAAUACUACUAUCACCACUACAACUACUACUACUACUACUACCACCACCAUUUACUACUACCACCAUUACUACUACCACCAUUACUACUACUACCAACAUUACUACAACUACUACUAAUACUAUUACCACUACAACUAAUACUACUAUUACCACUAUUACUACUACUACUACCACCAUUACUACUACUACUCCUACCACCAUUACUACUACUACUACUACUACCACCAUUACUACUACUACUACCACCAUUACUACUACUACUACCACCAUUACUACUACUACUACUACUACUACCAUUACUACUACUACUACCACUACCACCACUACUACCACCAUUACUACUACUACCACUACUAACUACUACUACCACCAUUACUUCUACUACUACCACCAUUACUACCACUACUACUACUACUACCACCAUUACUACUACUACUACUACUACUACUACUACCAUUACUACUACUACUACCACUACCACCACUACUACCACCAUUACUACUACUACCACUACUAACUACUACUACCACCAUUACUACUACUACCACUACUAACUACUACUACCACCAUUACUACUACUACUACUACCACCAUUACUACUACUACUACUACUACCACCAUUACUACUAUUACUACUACUACUACUACUACUACCACCAUUACUACUACAACUACUACUACUACUACUACCACCAUUACUACUACCACUACUACUACUACUGCCAUUACUACCACUACUAGUACUACCACCAUUACUACCACUACUACUACCACCAUUACUACGGGGCGGCAGGGUAGCCUAGUGGUUAGAGCCGGAAGGUUGCAAGUUCAAAUCCCCGAGUUGACAAGGUACAAAUCUGUCGUUCUGCCCCUGAACAGGCAGUUAAACCCACUGUUCCCAGGCUGUCAUUGAAAAUAAGAAUUUGUUCUUAACUGACUUGCCUAGUUAAAUAAAGGUAAAAUAAAAAAUAAACUACUACUACUAAUACCACCAUUACUACAACUACCACCACUACUACUAUCCCUCUAGUAUUUAUAAUACAGUCACUACUAUAUACUAUACUAUAUAUAGAGGUCGACCGAUUAUGAUUUUUCAACACUGAUACUGAUUAUUGGAGGACCAAAAAAAGCCGAUACCGAUUAAUCGGGUGAUUUUUAUUUAUUUGUAAUAACGACAAUUACAACAAUACUGAAUGAACACUUAUUUUAACUUUAAUAUAAUACAUCAAUAAAAUCAAUUUAGCCUAAAAUAAAUCAUGAAACCUGUUCAAUUUGGUUUAAAUAAUGCAAGAACAAAGUGUUGGAGAAGAAAGUAGGAGUGCGAUAUGUGCCACGUAAAAAAGCUAACGUUUCAGUUCCUUGCUCAGAACAUGAGAACAUAUGAAAGCUGGUGGUUCCUUUUAACAUGAGUCUUCAAUAUUCCCCGGUAAGAAGUUUUAGGUUGUAGUUAUUAUAGGAAUUAUAGGACUAUUUCUCUCUAUACCAUUUGUAUUUCAUUAACCUUUGACUAUUGGAUGUUCUUAUAGGCACUUUAGUAUUGCCAGUGUAACAGUAUAGCUUCCGUCCCUCUCCUCGCCCCUACCUGGGUUCGAACCAGGAACACAACGACAACAGCCACCCUCAAACAGCGUUACCCAUGCAGAGCAAGGGGGAACAACUACUAGAAGGCUCAGAGCGAGUGACGUUUGAAACGCUAUUGGCGCGCGCUAACUAGCUAGCCAUUUCAGAUCGGUUACACCAGCCUCAUCUCGGGAGUUGAUAGGCUUGAAGUCAUAAACAGCGCAAUGCUUUGACGCACAACGAAGAGCUGCUGGCAAAACGCACGAAAGUGCUGUUUGAAUGAAUGUUUACGCGCCUACUUCUGCCUACCACCGCUCAGUCAGAUACUUAGAUGCUUGUAUGCUCAGUCAGAUUAUAUGCAACGCAGGACACGCUAGAUAAUAUCUAGUAAUAUCAUCAACCACGUGUAGUUAACUAGUGAUUAUGAUUGAUUGAGACUUAGAUACGCAGGACACGCUAGAUAAUAUCUAGUAAUAUCAUCAACCAUGUGUAGUUAACUAGUGAUUAUGAUUGAUUGUUUUUUAUAAAGGUAAGUUUAAUACUAGCUAGCAACUUACCUUGGCUUACUGCAUUCGAGUAACAGGCUCCUUGUGGAGUGCAACGAGAGGCAGGUCGUUAUUGCGUUGUACUAGUUAACUGUAAGGUUGCAAGAUUGGAUCCCCCGAGCUGACAAGAUGAAAAUCUGUCUUUCUGCCCCUGAACAAGGUAGUUAACAGUUAACCCCACUGUUCCUAGGCCGUCGUUGAAAAUAAGAAUGUGUUCUUAAUUGACUUGCCUAGUUAAAUAAAUAUGAAAUAUAGGUGUAAAAAAAUACCGAUUUCCGAUUGUUAUGAAAACUUGAAAUCGGCCAUUCCAUUAAUCGGUCAACCUCUAAUACUAGCCCCAAUUUUUCAACAUUAGCCUCUAACAAUUUAAACUUCAGAAAUGAUUCCACUAACGUACAAAGAAGCAAGUCACACAAUUUGUUUGGAUGAAAAAUGACCCCCUUUUCUUGUAAUUGUAGUUGAUGUAUAUGUUGUAACUCAUCCAUUACAAACUCGUCAGGGUAAAUCCUCGGGCAACCAGCCAGGAACAUCUUGCCAAUCUCAGGAUCCUCAUAUCAAGAAAGAAGGACAUGAUGAAAGCCAUUCUUUCCGAUACCGCUUCGGAUACCAACAGCGCAGCGUUACAUGCCAUACUCAUGGAACGGUCCUGGAUGCACUGCGAACAAGCACGGAGUUCAAGAAUACGACAAAGACGAGACAGGGGAUGGAAAUAGUCAUUCAAAGAGAGAAAGAACCACGGGCAGCUGUCAGUACACAUUUCCCCUGUCAUUUAAUUGAUAAGGAUGAGCUAGUGACAGUCAGCUUCAUCAGAGUUCUAAACGGUGGUUCUUCAGAUACCCGGGGCCUUUACCACCCAAAAAUACAACCUGACAAGUUGAUGACUUUCUGUGUUGAAACUGAGGGUGGACAAAAUAUUAAAACUAAAGUCAUGAAAAACCCAGAGCUAAAGAAGAAAGUGAAGUAUGUUUGUGUGUACUGCUACAAAGGGGACAAGGUGAAGCAAGCCUUGAGGAGAGAUGGGCGAUUUGAUAAAACCGUCUGGAAAACACGCUGUGUUCUUUCUGAGCCAGAGACCAGUGUCGACACAGAGAUGUCCCAGCCAGUUGAUGGUCUUGAUGGGAAAAGUCGUAAAGGUGAAAUGUUGAUUGUGAAGGUGAAACGUAUCGGUCGUGUAUCUCAGCCACAGCCAGAUAGUCUUGAGGAUUGGGACAACACACCAACUGAAGAGCUGUCCGUCCCCUCUGGUGUAACAUCGGAAGCACCUCUCUUUCCUCAGAGUCCUACCACAACAGACACAGUUACAACAAAGUUACAGGCAAAGGAGGCAGGAAAAGAUGGUAGUUCUCUGGUAGUGAAGCAAAAACGGCAAGAGAUUCCAAACUCUAAAGAGGUCCUAAACAUCCUGCGUUCCCAAUAUGCAGGUUUGGUAGAUCACUUGAAAGAGAGAGAGAAUUUGAAAAAGCCUUCAGACGUGCAACAAUUCUUGAGAGUAGAGUUUGGAAAGAAAACACAGAGCUUCCAAGAGGUGAAGAAAGUGAAGAGAGUAAUGGAGCUGAGUGCUUCUGUUUGUCAGGUGAGAAUUGAAGGGACACCAAAAGGAACUGGCUUCCUUCUGUUUGAAAAGUUCAUCCUUACAAACGCCCAUGUUGUCCAUCAAAUCUAUGAGCCGAUAACUAACCAGCUGCACCAAUCGGUAACAGUCACGUUUGACUUUGAAGACCUGGAUGAGAGAACGCAGCAGAUACCAGUGCAAAGUGAGGUUGUAGCCUAUGGAAAAGUUGAUUCGGGUUGUGUUGACUUUGCUCUGCUGGAGAUUAGCUCAGAUCCUGACAUCACCUUGCCUUCAAGCUUGCUUGACAGCUUCAGCUUUCCGUCUCUAGAGGGUGGAAUCUGCAUCAUCGGCCACCCCGAGGGCGGGGUGAAAAAGAUGGACCCCUGCUUUAUCAUUCAACAUGGAGAUCGUAAACAAGCCGUAGAAAAACAUUUAACAGAAAAUGAGGAAUUCUUAUAUGUCAUAAACAACAGAUAUUUUGAGGAGAAAUGGGACAUCGACACACAUCUACUGAUGGACACAGAAAAGAUGACCUAUGACACCUGUUUCUUCCACGGUGCCUCUGGCUCUCCAGUCUUCAAUGAGUACUGCCAGCUGAUCGCUAUGCAUACAGCAGGCUACUCCUACCAGGGUAAAAGAGGGAAAACCCAGAGUGUCAUAGAGUAUGCCAUUCCCCUGUCAGGCAUACUUGAGGAGAUCAUCAUUCAAGCGGUGCGUAGGAAAAGAGUUGAUGUGCUACAGGAAUUCCUGAGGCGGAGGAGUAUGAAAUUAGACGUAGUGAUGGAAAGAGUCAAGACACAGUCUGAUAACGCCAGCCUGGUCAAGGCAUUUCAGGAGAAGCUGCCGUUCAACAGUAACUCUUCGGCUACAGAUCAGGGAGAGCAGAGAACCUUCCACCAGUUCCUCUUUGAUAAAGCCACAGGGGUCAACGCCACAGGGGUCAACGCCACAGGGGUCAACGCCACAGGGGUCAACGCCACAGGGGUCGAAGCCAUGGAGGUGGAUGAUGACCAGUGGUGGAAGAAGUGCCCAGUUGUCUUGAGUAACAGUAAAGAUACCUUUAAUAGAAAGUGACUCCAGUGACUCCAGUGAAAGUGGGAGUCGCCCAGUAAAAUACUUCUUCAGUAAAAGUCUAAAAGUAUUUAGUUUAAAAUAGCCUUAAAUAUCAAAAGUAAAUGUGUAAAUAAUUUCAAAUUCGUUACGGUUAAGCAAAGCAGACGGCACCAUUUUCUUGUUUUGAAAAUGUAUGGAUAGCCAGGGGCCACGCUCCAACACUCAGACAACAUUUACAAACGAUGCAUUUGUGUUUAGUGUCCUCCAGAUCAGAGCCAGUAGGGAUGACCAGGGGUGUUCUCUGUUUAGUGAGUCCUCCAGAUCAGAGGCAGUAGGGAUGACCAGGGAUGUUCUCUGUUUAGUGAGUCCUCCAGAUCAGAGGCUAGUAGGGAUGACCAGGGACGUUCUCUGUUUCGUGAGUCCUCCAGAUCAGAGGCUAUAGGGAUGACCAGGGAUGUUCUCUGUUUUGUGAGUCCUCCAGAUCAGAGGCAGUAGGGAUGACCAGGGAUGUUCUCUGUUUUGUGAGUCCUCCAGAUCAGAGGCAGUAGGGAUGACCAGGGAUGUUCUCUGUUUAGUGAGUCCUCCAGAUCAGAGGCAGUAGGGAUGACCAGGGAUGUUUUCCUGGAUUUGACUAUUUUCCUGUCAAAAUGUAAUGAGGACUUUUGUGUGUCGGGGAAAAUGUAUGGAGUAAAAAGUACAUAGUUUGCUUUAGGAAUAUAGUGAAGUAAAAUUCAAAGUUGUCAAAAAUAUAAACAGUAAAGUAAGCUGCAGGUAUCCCACAAAACAACUUAAGUUUAUUUUAAAGUAUUUUUUACUAAAGUACUUUACACCACUGAUGAUAAUGAAAGGAGUGACGUGUAUUUUAUUAAAAUCCAUGCUUUUAAUCUAAACUGGAUUAUUAUGUUUUCAUAUAUUAAUUAGUUUAUAUUUCAUGAUUACAUUCCUCAAUACAGACCUGUUCUGAGGCAGAUCAU
This is an RNA transcript of Oncorhynchus keta (chum salmon), 7537 nucleotides long. It is a transcript of the gene named serine protease FAM111A-like, with no coding region annotated. The record is from RefSeq and is a predicted model, not a curated record. Lineage: Eukaryota; Metazoa; Chordata; Actinopteri; Salmoniformes; Salmonidae. The transcript has 3 exons.